Molecule: long non-coding RNA, 1285 nt
Filed under: Pan troglodytes (chimpanzee)
Lineage: Eukaryota; Metazoa; Chordata; Mammalia; Primates; Hominidae
Description: long non-coding RNA NONPTRT002635
Source: RNAcentral
GACCGAUGGAGCGCAGCCAAGCUGCAACUCUCAACAGCGCUGGGGGGCCUACUGGGUGCCGGCUUCGCCAUCUGUACCCAGUCCCCCAAGGGAGUAGAGGAGACGGCAGCCUGGGUCCUGCCCUUCACCUCUGGCGGCUUUCUCUACAUCGCCUUGGUGAACGUGCUCCCUGACCUCUUGGAAGAAGAGGACCCGUGCAAUAAGAUGCUCGGAUUCACUCUGUGACCGCAUAUGUGAGAGGCAGAGAGGGCGAGUGGCUGCGAGAGAGAAUGAGCCUCCCGCCAGACAGGAGGGAGGUGCGUGUGGAUGUAUGUGGUGUGCACAUGUGGCCAGAGGCGUGUGUGUGAGACCGACACUGUGAUCCCUGUGCUGGGUCCGGGGCCCAGUGUAGCGCCUGUCCCCAGCCAUGCUGUGGUUACCUCUCCGUGCCGCCCUGUCACCUUCACCUCCCGGAGUAAGCAGCGAGGAACAGCAGCACUGGUCCCAAGCAGAGGCCUUGCCCUGCUGGGACCCCGGGAGUGAGAGCAGCCCAAGGAUCCCAGGAUGCAGGGAACUCCAGAGCUGCCCACCUCCCACUGCCCCCUCAGCACACACACAGUCCCCAGGUGGCCUAGGGGCCAAGGCUGGGGCGGCUUUGGUCCCUUUUCCUGGCCCUUCCUUCCCCACUUCUAAGCCAAAGAAAGGAGAGGCAGGUGCUCCUGUACCCCAGCCCCACUCAGCACUGACAGUCCCCAGCUCCUAGUAGUGAGCUGGGAGGCGCUUCCUAAGACCCUUUCCUCAGGGCUGCCCUGGGAGCUCAUUCCUGGCCAACACGCCCUGGCAGCACCAGCAGCUCUUGCCACCUCCAGCUGCCAAACAGCAGCCUGCCGGGCAGGGAGCAGCCCCAGGCCAGAGAGGCCUCCCGGUCCAGCUCAGGGAUGCUCCUGCCAGCACAGGGGCCAGGGACUCCUGGAGCAGGCACAUAGUGAGCCCGGGCAGCCCUCCCCAGCUCAGGCCCCUCUCCUUCCCCAUUGAGGUUGGGGUAGGUGGGGGCGGUGAGGGCUCCACGUUGUCAGCGCUCAGGAAUGUGCUCCGGCAGAGUGCUGAAGCCAUAAUCCCCAACCAUUUCCCUUGGCUGACGCCCAGGUACUCAGCUGGCCCACUCCACAGCCAGGCCUGGCCCUGCCCUUCACCGUGGAUGUUUUCAGAAGUGGCCAUCGAGAGGUCUGGAUGGUUUUAUAGCAACUUUGCUGUGAUUCCGUUUGUAUCUGUAAAUAUUUGUUCUAUAGAUAAGAUACAAAUAAAU